This is a non-coding RNA of Anas platyrhynchos (mallard), 1433 nucleotides long. The record is from RefSeq and is a predicted model, not a curated record. NCBI's taxonomy places the organism in Eukaryota, Metazoa, Chordata, Aves, Anseriformes, Anatidae.
CUGGUUACUGCAUGAUCCUCUUGAAACCGUUCAGAGGGCAGAGGAAAAUGAGUCAGAGAAAGGACCUAAUUCAAUGCAGUUUUAUAUAGUGGGAAGUUGCCUUGGUGUCAAUCAAAUUUUACAGGAUAUUGGUAGCAUGUUACAAUUUAAUCUUCCUCGAAUUGGGCUAAUGUUAAAGAGUGUGGCUUCUCACCCAUGAAGAAGUGAGGAGCUUGGAAGAAGUGAACUCUGCAGUAGAGCAAGGCAGAGCAGAAGUACACAAGGGCCACCUGGGGCAGUGAGACCGGCCCCAAUUUGCCACCUUCUCAUGAUCCCCCUUCCCUGUGCAGACUGCAGGCAGAUGCAGAUCUUCCAGAAGGAGCAUUCAAGACAGGUGAAAGGAAAUGAAAUUCAUCCUUCUUUGGAGACCUGUCCUGAUGAAGUGCUCAGGAAGAGCUGUAAAACUGAAGACUGAAAUCUUCCAAGUAAGAUUUUCUUUAGAGGGCAGAACCAAUGUGGUGGGUUAAAAGUUGCUAGGGAAGGAAAGCCGUGAUGUCAUUUACACAGUACGUAUCAGCUAUGGGCUAGGGAAUCUUGCCAUGUAUAAACAUUAGAAAAGAAUGAAAACCAUUAAACAUUUACAGCAACCAAUUCACAAAUGUUGAGAUUUCUGAAUCUCCAAUGAGCUAAAGAAAUACCCUAAUUUGAAACCACAGCUUUCACCACCAUCAUUGAAAGCUUAGAUCUGCAGCCACAUUUUCGAAACAGUUAUUAAUGAACUGGAGCAUAUCAUCAGCAUUAAAUCUGGCAAUGCAGAAGUGUGUAGACAAAUGACUUCAGAUAAAAUGAAUGUCAAUCACUGUUUUGAGUAAUUUCUAUGUAACUGGAAUGAAUAUGGUCCCUAUAUAUAUACCUCUUCCAAGCACAUACACAUGUGAAACCCAAAUGAUUUUUCCAUUCUUUCCAGUGCAAUUUUCAGCCUAAGGGACUUAGGAGUAUUUCAUUAAUUGCUUCUAAGAAAUUAGUAUCUAAUAAAGACCAUCUGGGAACUAGUAGCUAAAGAAAACCACAGAAAAUAUAUUUUCACUGAAAAAGAAAUUUCCUGUGAAAAAUUCUGUAUUUCACGCAAAGCAAAGCGUUUUGACCAGCUUGAUCUGAAGUUGAACAUUUUGUUGGAAAGUUUUUUUGUCUGGGGUUUUUAUUUUGCCUGUAAUUUAAAAAACUCUUCUCAAUAUUUUUGGUUGUACAUCUCUCGUCUAAAGUACUGUUGAUAAUUAAGAGGCUGUAACCCAUCGUUUUUCAAGUGGUGAGGACUUUGUCCUCAGGCACCUCCUGAUGGAGACGUGCAAUGCACCAUUGCAGUCUCCUGAUGACCAUGGAUCGCGGGAUGGGUGCGUUAAUUAGGGAGCUCAGUCUACAGGAAGGACUGAAGAAAUAAAGCACCUGAACUCUAA